CACGUAGGGGACGAGCGUUGUCCGGAUUCAUUGGGCGUAAAGCGCGCGUAGGCGGCUCGGAAAGUCGGUCGUGAAAUGCCGGGGCUCAACCCCGGGACUGCGUCCGAUACUCCCGAGCUGGAGGCAGGUAGGGGAGAUCGGAAUUCCUGGUGUAGCGGUGAAAUGCGCAGAUGUCAGGAGGAACACCGGUGGCGAAGGCGGAUCUCUGGGCCUUGCCUGACGCUGAGGCGCGAAAGCUAGGGGAGCGAACAGG
This 253-nucleotide ribosomal RNA is filed under the name uncultured bacterium. RNAcentral's name for it is "partial 16S ribosomal RNA". It matches the Rfam family "Bacterial small subunit ribosomal RNA", at positions 524 to 776 of the family's 1533-position model. The record is from RNAcentral.